UUUCUUUACUCUCUCUCUCUCUAUGGAGUAACCAAACCCAAAACAAACACCGACAAGGUUUAUCCAGUCAGAUUCGAGUUCGACCAUCAUCAUCGUCAUUCAUAUAAAUAGUGAUCCAUACGUUGUGGGUUCAGUUUGUUUGGUUUGUGUUAUUUGAUUAGAUUAAGAAUUAGAAAUUAGAGUGAGAGAGAAGAUGAUGGUGGAGUUCUUUGUGCUGGGGUGCACCGGAGUUGUCGUGUUCCUUCACGGAGCCAAUUUCUUCUUCCACGCUCUCUCCUCUCACCUCGCCUUUCGAUCUCUCAGUUUCUUAGGAUUUGCUGGAUGGUAGAAAAAGAGAGAAGGGCAGAGAUGAUUUCUUCGCCAUGGCUGGUACAGAUCCCGGCAUGUUUUUGUAACUAUAUAUUAUUCUAUUUUUUGAGCAGUUUAUAGGAUAUGGGGAAAAUAAAAUGGCUAUAAAUAGAAGCCAUCAUCAACAUAUAUACGUUAGGUAAUGUAAUUGAUCAAUUACGUAAGAUCAAUUGUCAUGUAUUUAAUCCUUCCCCUCCGCUCGAAUCAUGGAAUGGUUUAGAAACUUUUUGCUUAUUCAAAGACUCUUCAAAUCCAUUUUGCUUUAAUCUAAACAAACGUCGUCUUUGUAAUAUUUGAGAAAUUUCUCUUUCUUUCUUUGGU
This is a long non-coding RNA of Camellia sinensis, 669 nucleotides long. RefSeq lists it as uncharacterized. Lineage: Eukaryota; Viridiplantae; Streptophyta; Magnoliopsida; Ericales; Theaceae. The record is from RefSeq and is a predicted model, not a curated record.